This 332-nucleotide long non-coding RNA is filed under the name Elaeis guineensis (African oil palm). Its description in RNAcentral is "long non-coding RNA (EGUI_LNC044046)". The record is from RNAcentral. Lineage: Eukaryota; Viridiplantae; Streptophyta; Magnoliopsida; Arecales; Arecaceae.
AUAGAAAACUUACGAGAAAUCAUGGUGGGCAUGCACCAUAGAUAAGAUUGUAGGCACCCACUUAUCCUCCCUCCAUUUGAAUACAAACAGGGCGAUAACUCUUGUCCUCAUCCACAUCAGGAUAAAUCUCCUUCAAAUUCAAAUGGGUUUUUAUCCCAAUCCUCUCAAAUCAAAUUUGAACUAUUCAAAUUCAAAUGAAUUUUAUCCCUAUCCUCUCUCCCUAUCCACAAGGUAGCGCUACCCCUUGGAUCUUAUCCAUUUGGGGUGCCCCUCUUCCUGCAAACAAAACAACAAAGAAAAAGUGGGGCGCCAACUAUCCCCAACCAUGCCAC